Molecule: ribosomal RNA, 202 nt
Filed under: uncultured bacterium
Lineage: Bacteria
Description: partial 16S ribosomal RNA
Rfam family: Bacterial small subunit ribosomal RNA
Source: RNAcentral
GCAGGCUGCAACCCGCCCUGCGUGAAGUUGGAAUCGCAGUAAUCGCGGAUCAGCAUGCCGCGGUGAAUACGUUCCCGGGCCUUGUACACACCGCCCGUCACACCAUGAGAGUCGGGAACACCCGAAGUCCGUAGCCUAACCGCAAGGGGGGCGCGGCCGAAGGUGGGUUCGAUAAUUGGGGGUGAAGUCGUAACAAGGUAGC